GGGCCCGCACAAGCGGUGGAGCAUGUGGAUUAAUUCGAAGCAACGCGAAGAACCUUACCUAGCCUUGACAUCCUUGGAACCUGCCCCAAAAAGGCGGGGUGUCCUUCGGGAAAUCAAGUGACAGGUGCUGCAUGGCUGUCGUCAGCUCGUGUCGUGAGAUGUUGGGUUAAGUCCCGCAACGAGCGCAACCCUUGUCUUUAGUUGCCAUCAUUUAGUUGGGCACUCUAGAGAGACUGCCGGUGUCAAGCCGGAGAAGGUGGGACGACGUCAAGUCAUCAUGGCCCCUUACGGCUAGGGGCUUCACACGUGCUACAAUGGGCGGUACAAAGGGUCGGCGAAACCGCGAGGUGGAGCUAAAUCCCCAAAAAAGGCCGCUCUC
This 379-nucleotide ribosomal RNA is filed under the name uncultured bacterium. RNAcentral describes it as "bacterial SSU rRNA". It matches the Rfam family "Bacterial small subunit ribosomal RNA", at positions 917 to 1289 of the family's 1533-position model. The record is from RNAcentral.